ACAGCAGCCUUGGUGCCACUGGGGUAGAAGCAUCCGCGUCUCCGGCAUUCGGUGUCAGCAUCUACAGUUAGACCUUCCCAUCCUUAUGGGCUGGGCCCCUCUGCUGUCCUCGAGCUGCAUCCAACACCGGGGAAAUGAGUCCUGACGACCGAGGGACGUCACCAAGAGUGUCACCACCCACACCGAGCAGCCACAGGCUCCAUGUCCAGCCCCUCCUUCCCCCGGGAGGGUGAGCCCAGGAGGUGAGAGCAGAGAUCGGGGCCUGGAGGUGCGGCCUGGGAAGCCUGUUGUGGGUGCCGCCUCCCUGAGCCACAACCUGUCCUGGGGAUCGGUGGACGCUCCGUGGCUCUGCAGAGCUGCUUGUACCACCCUUGCUGGAGGAGGAGGUUCUCGCAGUUUGCUUCCGUUUGUGGAUGAGAGACAGGUGGGUUGGUUGGUUCUUCCCAUCAUGGCAUCACAGCCAUUCCACGGGAGGUGAUGGCAGCUGAUUGUUCUGAGUCUCUGCUAAGUGGAAUCACCCCAAGACCUCGAGUGCAUGGACCCACUGGGCUCUGGGCCCCGCAGAGACGUGCCCAGGCCUGGAUGUGCUGACUGCUGGGCUGUCCCACACAGCUGGAGCCAGGAGCCCACAGUGGGCAGCAGGACCUUGACUUCAGGCGGGCAGAGCCGGGCAUCUCCUGUCUCCUCCCUGCCCUGGCUGGGAUAGGUUUUUAGGAGUAACUUUGCUAGAGGGAAGAUUCUGAGACAUCUGCGAUCCUGAGCUGCUCCGGUGGGCACCUGCCAGAAGACAGGAGCCCAGGCUGCAGGAGUCGCUGGUGGAGGAGGGGUGAGGCGGCGCCCCUGCCUCUGUGGUUCUGCAUGGGGCAGGGCCCCUGCUGCUCCGGGCGGGGAAAGAAGUUCUGGAGGCUGAAAAUCAAGAUCAGGAUGCUGGCGUCUGACAAGGGCUUUCUUGCUGCAUCCUCACGUGGCGGAAAGUGGAAGGGCAAGAGAGAGCGAACCCAUCCUGAAAACCCCAGAUUACAGAGGCACUAAUCCAUUUAUGUGGGUGGAGCUCCCAUGACCCAAACACCUCCAAAGGCCCCACCUCCUGACAAUGUUGCACUGGGGAUUACAUUUCCAACACAUGAAUCUGGGGAGACAGAUUCAGACCACAGCAGAUGUCAAGGCUGGUUCAAAGGACAAUGUGAAGAACAAAGGCAUGCUGAAAUGAAUUUGAUAAUAGAUGCAAACUUGGGUAACAUCCUACAGGACAAUAAGGUGUAAGUAAUACUUGGGAUCAUCUUUCCUUAGACAUGAGCAUCAGUUGCAUCUACAGUGAACAACACUGAUUACAUUGCCAUAGAGGAAGCUUUGUGUUGCUCUCAGAUAAGAAGCAUGCACACUGCUGUAUUCUCUACAUGAACUUCUAUUCUACAGUUGUAAAAUAGUUCAGUCAAUAGAAAGCCAACCACAGAGACACACCUAGUGGUUUGUUUUUGCCUAUUUUUAAGUUUUUAAUAUUUUUUAUAACAGAUAUAACAUUGAAUCCAUAGUGAAGUUAAUCACUUUUUAAUUACCCAUUUUUCUAAUAAUUAAAUCAACAAGGGAGUCUCCUUUGGGUACCAAUCAAUCUCUAACCUUUCUAAACUUCUUGUUUGAAAAAGAGAAAGGCAGAAGUGGGCCUCAAGCAUGACGCCUUCAACUGACUGUACAAGCUAGCUGCAGUUUGAUGAUACUGUUGAAUUUUCUUUAUUAUAUUGUUACCUUUUAUUAAUGGCAAUGGAUAUAUUAGUUUUCCAUUUUUGGUUGAGAUAUGAGGCUUCCUUUAAAACAUAUUUAAGUAAAAAAGAAAAGUGAGUCAAUGUGUUUAAUUAAACAGCCAAAAGUAUUCAAAUGAUGAAUGAUAUAGAUGGGAUGAAUAGAAAGUCAUAGAAAAUUUAUGGUGAUCACUGAAGGUUGAGAAAAACCCAAUCUGAUGAGCACUCUGCUCCAUGUCAGGUCCUGCCUGUUGUGCUUGUCUCCCAGACUGUCUUUUAACUCUCACCUUCUUACAAAUAGUUGAAUCUUAAUAGCUAUUAUUACCUUACAUUUAACAAAAUAGGCAUAUGCAUAUUUUUUCAUUUUCUCCCUCUCCACUAAGGAAAACUUCAGAGAGAGAAAGAAUUUCUCCAGGGUCAAGCAUCCAGCUGAGCAUUCCAGUAGAGAAUGGCAGUGCUGGAAUCCCCCGCUGUUGUCCGGCUUCAAGACUCUUUUGCACUGUCUCCCAGCCCUGCUCCCAUGGGAGUUGUGGAGAAUUCCCAGGGUGAAGAAAGAACCUGGGGAUAGAGCCUCCUUUUUUCAUUUUUUCUUUCUUUUUUUUUUUUUUUUUGCGAUGGUCUUGCUCUGUCACCCAGGCUUGGAGUGCAGUGGUGUGAUCUUGGCUCACUGCAGCCUCAAUCUCCCAGGUUCAAGUGAUCCUUCCUCCUCAGUCUCCAGAGUAGCUGGGACUACAGGUAUGCACCACCAUGCCUGGCUAAUUUUUGUGUUUUUAGUAGAGAUGGGCUUUCAUCAUGUUGGCCAGACUGGUCUCAAACUCCUGACCUCAGGUGAUCCACCUGCCUCAGCCUCCCGAAGUGCUGGGAUUAUAGGCAUGAGCCACUGUGCCCGGCCUCAUUUUUCUUUUCCUUUUUACAGAAAUGGAAAUCACAUGGUAGGUCAUAAGGAGCUGACAGGGCUGGAGUUCCAGUGAGUAUCUGCCCCGGCAGUGCGGCAGCAGACGGGAAGGGUGGGAGGUCAUCUGAGCUGGUAGGGUGAGAACAAAUAUAAAUCUCAGGGGGGAUCCACAAGGGAGCCCAUGUCUUUGGUGCCACACAAAUGCAGUAAGAGCUGUGGACACCAGGGAAUACCAGGGAGUGUUUAAAAGCCCCACAGGCAGAACACACGCAGAGAAAGCAGGAGACUAGGCACUGUGGGUUCUUGGGAAAGAGCUGAUUUUAGUUGCAAAAGCAGAGGAAACCCCAGACAUUGCAUGGCUUUAGGCUUUAGGCUUUAGCCCCACCACCCUCACAAGUCUUCUGUCUCCAGGGGGCCAUCAGUGCCUCAGUUCCACUCGGUGCAGACCCCAGGGUUCUUCCCACCCCUGCAAGCCACCCAUCAGGGUGAACUGAGAGAUCAGCAGAGUCACUUACAACGAAGGGGAAUUGUUCUGGGCAUUGGUUAGUAAACAGGAGAGCAAAAGGGGAGAAGAAAAUUGUGUACAGGCGUUGAGCAUCUCUAGCCGAAGAAGGUGAGGCAUAGAGGUGUCUUACCACCAGGAACAGAUCUGAGUCAUGCAGCACCAAAAUACGUAUUUGAGUCAUGGCAUCAAAACGUUCCUGGUGGUGAAUUCAUGUCCGUGCGGGUCUGCAGCAAUCUCAAUUCUUGCCUCCUCAGAAGAAAGAAUUCGACUGAGGGGCAUGAGGCAGAAAGAGAGAUCGGAGCCAGUUUCAGAACAGGAGUGAAAGUUUAUUAAAAGGCUUUAGAACAUGAAUGAAAGGAAGGAAAGGAUACUUGGAGAAGGACCAAGCAGGCAUCUUGAAAGGCAAGUGCUUUUUUUUUUUUUUUUCAUUUUUUAACCCCUUCCUAAUGUCACUGGAAUAAGAGGCCUGUCCCAGACCCCAAGAGCGGGUUCUUGGAUGUUGGAUGAGGAACAAUUCCAGGUGAGUGGCAGAGUAUAGUAAAGUUAAAAUCGUUUAUCAGAGACCACUCGGUUACAGAGUAGGAUGUCCUCCAAAAGCAAGAGAAGGAACGCGCACACCUUAAAUACGAUUCUUAUUUAUAUAGGUUAACAGAGCUAAGAAGAGAGGUCUUUUGUGCUUUAUUACAGAGGCUGGUGAUCAGCUUCUGACAGGCUAUUAGUAUUAUUUUCCUAUGUUACUACUGAUUUCAGCAAGGAUUUACGAAUGUACUAUUAACCUUAAAUCAAAACCUACUCUUAAACUAAGAAUGCUUUUUGUUCUUAAAAUAUUAAGAGAUUGCCAUAAAAUUCUGCGUCUUUAUUUAGUUAGCAUCAUUAACUUGUUCCCUCAACCAUAAACAUCUUGUGCCCAAGAGUGCCUACCCCCUGGGGGUGUAACCCUGCAGGCAUGGCUAUAUCCCACAUUUAUUAAAG
This 4108-nucleotide long non-coding RNA is filed under the name Homo sapiens (human). RNAcentral describes it as "HSALNT0197460". Lineage: Eukaryota; Metazoa; Chordata; Mammalia; Primates; Hominidae. The record is from RNAcentral.